UAAGGAAUAUUGGUCAAUGGACGCAAGUCUGAACCAGCCAUGCCGCGUGAAGGAAGACGGCCCUACGGGUUGUAAACUUCUUUUGUACGGAAAAAAAUCACCGGUCGUGAAUCGGUGUUGAUGGUACCGUAAGAAUAAGCAUCGGCUAACUCCGUGCCAGCAGCCGCGGUAAUACGGAGGAUGCAAGCGUUAUCCGGAUUCAUUGGGUUUAAAGGGUGCGCAGGCGGAAUGAUAAGUCAGUGGUGAAAUCCUACGGCUCAACUGUAGAACUGCCAUUGAUACUGUCAUUCUUGAGUACACUUGGAGUGGGCGGAAUGUGUCAUGUAGCGGUGAAAUGCUUAGAUAUGACACAGAACACCGAUCGCGAAGGCAGCUCACUAAGUUGUAACUGACGCUCAGGCACGAAAGCGUGGGGAUCAAACAGG
This 425-nucleotide ribosomal RNA is filed under the name uncultured bacterium. Its description in RNAcentral is "bacterial SSU rRNA". It matches the Rfam family "Bacterial small subunit ribosomal RNA", at positions 355 to 776 of the family's 1533-position model. The record is from RNAcentral.